GAUGAACGCUGGCGGCGUGCUUAACACAUGCAAGUCGAACGAAGCACUUUUAAUUCUUCGGAAGAGAAAGUGACUGAGUGGCGGACGGGUGAGUAACGCGUGGGUAACCUGCCUUAUACAGGGGGAUAAAAGUUAGAAAUGACUGCUAAUACCGCAUAAGCCGAUAGAGUCGCAUGACUUAGGCGGAAAAGAUUUAUCGGUAUAAGAUGGACCCGCGUCUGAUUAGCUAGUUGUCGAGGUAAUGGCCCACCAAGGCGACGAUCAGUAGCCGGCUUGAGAGAGUGAACGGCCACAUUGGGACUGAGACACGGCCCAAACUCCUACGGGAGGCAGCAGUGGGGAAUAUUGCACAAUGGGGGAAACCCUGAUGCAGCAACGCCGCGUGAAGGAAGAAGUAUUUCGGUAUGUAAACUUCUAUCAGCAGGGAAGAAAAUGACGGUACCUGACUAAGAAGCCCCGGCUAACUACGUGCCAGCAGCCGCCGUAA
This 487-nucleotide ribosomal RNA is filed under the name uncultured bacterium. Its description in RNAcentral is "partial 16S ribosomal RNA". It matches the Rfam family "Bacterial small subunit ribosomal RNA", at positions 28 to 523 of the family's 1533-position model. The record is from RNAcentral.